This 474-nucleotide ribosomal RNA is filed under the name Triticum aestivum (bread wheat). RNAcentral describes it as "partial small subunit ribosomal RNA". The record is from RNAcentral. Lineage: Eukaryota; Viridiplantae; Streptophyta; Magnoliopsida; Poales; Poaceae.
AUGCAUACGGCCAAUUACCUCACAAAACAAAAAGUACUGCAGCGUAUUCUAUUUGAUGAAAGCGCAGAACCAAAGGCCCUAUCGUUAUCACUUCUGGAGCACAUCACCAACAGUUUCUCUGAUGACAAAGAAAUUGGCUGUGGUGGCUUUGCAAGGGUUUAUAAGGGAAUGCUUGACAAUGGCACUGUUGCUGUGAAGAAGCUUUGCGAUAUGCUUGAUAUGGAUGAGAAGAAAUUUAGCGAAGAAAUUCGUUGUCUGAUGAAGGCGACGCACAAAAAUGAAGUACGGUUCCUAGGAUAUUGCUCUGACAGACAAGGGGAAAUGGUAAACUGCGAGGGAAAACUUGUCUUAGCAGAUGUACGACAAAGGCUACUCUGCUUUGAAUAUCUACCUAAAGGCAGUCUAGAUAAGCACAUCACCGGUAGGCUGAUGUCGCAUGUAUUUGGUUCAAGCAUCCAUUUAUUUAGUGUUUAG